This 449-nucleotide ribosomal RNA is filed under the name uncultured bacterium. Its description in RNAcentral is "bacterial SSU rRNA". It matches the Rfam family "Bacterial small subunit ribosomal RNA", at positions 329 to 795 of the family's 1533-position model. The record is from RNAcentral.
UUCCAGACUCCUACGGGAGGCAGCAGUGGGGAAUAUUGCACAAUGGGGGAAACCCUGAUGCAGCGACGCCGCGUGAGUGAAGAAGUAAUUCGUUAUGUAAAGCUCUAUCAGCAGGGAAGAAAAUGACGGUACCUGAGUAAGAAGCCCCGGCUAACUACGUGCCAGCAGCCGCGGUAAUACGUAGGGGGCAAGCGUUAUCCGGAUUUACUGGGUGUAAAGGGAGCGCAGGCGGUCUGGCAAGUCUGAUGUGAAAUACCGGGGCUCAACUCCGGGACUGCAUUGGAAACUGUCAGACUGGAGUGUCGGAGAGGCAGGCGGAAUUCCUGGUGUAGCGGUGAAAUGCGUAGAUAUCAGGAGGAACACCAGUGGCGAAGGCGGCCUGCUGGACGAUGACUGACGCUGAGGCCCGAAAGCGUGGGGAGCAAACAGGAUUAGAUACCCCUGUACAC